RNAcentral lists this ribosomal RNA (416 nucleotides) under Clostridioides difficile. RNAcentral describes it as "partial 23S ribosomal RNA". It matches the Rfam family "Bacterial large subunit ribosomal RNA", at positions 1 to 419 of the family's 2925-position model. The record is from RNAcentral. Lineage: Bacteria; Bacillati; Bacillota; Clostridia; Peptostreptococcales; Peptostreptococcaceae.
GGUCAAGUUAUUAAGGGUGCAGGGCGGAUGCCUUGGCACUAGGAGCCGAUGAAGGACGUGAUAAGCUGCGAUAAGCUUCGGGGAGUUGCACGUAAACUUUGAUCCGAAGAUUUCCGAAUGAGGAAACUCACUUAGAGUAAUGUCUAAGUAUCAUUAAGUGAAUACAUAGCUUAAUGAGGGGAACUCAGGGAACUGAAACAUCUAAGUACCUGAAGGAAGAGAAAGAAAUUCGAUUCCGUAAGUAGCGGCGAGCGAACGCGGAUUAGCCCAAACCAAUAAAGUUUUCUUUAUUGGGGUUGCGGACAUAUCAUAACGAAGAGGUAUCGUAAUUGAAGAGGUUUGGAAAGACCCACCACAGAAGGUAAUAGUCCUGUAUGUUAAACGAGAAGACUUUAGAUAUGAUCCAGAGUACCACG